This 58-nucleotide non-coding RNA is filed under the name Sus scrofa (pig). Lineage: Eukaryota; Metazoa; Chordata; Mammalia; Artiodactyla; Suidae. The record is from RNAcentral.
UUGUCCGUGCCCCACCCACUCACCCGUGUGUGUGUGUGUGUGUGGGCGCCGGACGCCC